UACAGAGGGUGCGAGCGUUGUCCGGAAUCACUGGGCGUAAAGGGCGCGUAGGUGGCGACCCAAGUCGAUGGUGAAAGCUCGCCGCUCAACGGCGAGUCGGCCACCGAUACUGGGUUGCUGGAGCACUGUAGAGGCAGAUGGAAUUCCGGGUGUAGCGGUGGAAUGCGUAGAGAUCCGGAAGAACGACCGGUGGCGAAGGCGGUCUGCUGGGCAGUUGCUGACACUGAGGCGCGACAGCGUGGGGAGCAAACAGGG
RNAcentral lists this ribosomal RNA (255 nucleotides) under uncultured bacterium. Its description in RNAcentral is "partial 16S ribosomal RNA". It matches the Rfam family "Bacterial small subunit ribosomal RNA", at positions 524 to 777 of the family's 1533-position model. The record is from RNAcentral.